UCAAUGAAACUAAUCUCCUCGUGAAGAAGCGAGGAUACAAAUAUAAGACGANAAGACCCCAUGGAGCUUUAAACAAACCCCAACUGCUCCCUCCCUAAUCAUAGAAAUUGAGCAUUAAUGACGGGUAGUUUUCGGUUGGGGUGACCGCGGAGUAAAACAAAACCUCCACAAUGAAUGUAAUAAAAUACUAAUAAAAGAACCACAAUUCUAAUAAUCAAAAAAUUGACAUAUUUGACCCAAACACUUGAUCAAUGAACCAAGUUACCCUGGGGAUAACAGCGCAAUCCAUUUUAAGAGCCCCUAUCGACAAAUGGGUUUACGACCUCGAUGUUGGAUCAGGGUAUCCUAGUGGUGCAGCCGCUACUAACGGUUCGUUUGUUCAACGAUUAAAACCCUACGUGAUCUG
This 406-nucleotide ribosomal RNA is filed under the name Leptopelis flavomaculatus. RNAcentral's name for it is "partial large subunit ribosomal RNA". It matches the Rfam family "Bacterial large subunit ribosomal RNA", at positions 2033 to 2607 of the family's 2925-position model. The record is from RNAcentral. Lineage: Eukaryota; Metazoa; Chordata; Amphibia; Anura; Arthroleptidae.